GAGUACACGUGGGUGAUCUGCCCUGCACUUCGGGAUAAGCCUGGGAAACUGGGUCUAAUACCGGAUAGGACGAUGGUUUGGAUGCCAUUGUGGAAAGUUUUUCGGUGUGGGAUGAGCUCGCGGCCUAUCAGCUUGUUGGUGGGGUAAUGGCCUACCAAGGCGUCGACGGGUAGCCGGCCUGAGAGGGUGUACGGCCACAUUGGGACUGAGAUACGGCCCAG
This 221-nucleotide ribosomal RNA is filed under the name uncultured Actinomycetales bacterium. Its description in RNAcentral is "partial 16S ribosomal RNA". It matches the Rfam family "Bacterial small subunit ribosomal RNA", at positions 108 to 334 of the family's 1533-position model. The record is from RNAcentral. Lineage: Bacteria; Bacillati; Actinomycetota; Actinomycetes; Actinomycetales.